Long non-coding RNA from Coturnix japonica (Japanese quail), 6444 nucleotides. RefSeq lists it as uncharacterized. Lineage: Eukaryota; Metazoa; Chordata; Aves; Galliformes; Phasianidae. The record is from RefSeq and is a predicted model, not a curated record.
GCUGAUGUAAUCCUUACCCCUCUUAUGAAGCCUUGGCCUCUCUUCUCUUGGACAGAAUUGUUCUUUGGAAAGUAGAAUAGAUGAUGAAAGCUCAGUGGGGGAACACGAGGCAGUUACAAAGAGGCUGAAGUAAAAGAAAGUCAAGAAUAUGAACAAUUCGGAGCUGGUGCUUGUGAUGCCUGGAGAAAAGCACUUCAUGCAAAAGUUGCAGAGAACUUUUUGCUCUCCUCAUUAAUGUAUCGAAGAAGGAGAUUUUUACUCAAAGGAUGUGUACAAAGAAGUCAGGCUGCUUGUUCUGUGGAACCCAGAGUCAGAGGAACGGAUGAAGAAGAAAGAAGUGUGACCCUGUGUGUGUGUUUGGCUUCAUCUCCCCAUGGAUCAGGAGUUCAUUUAGAAAGUUAAUGCUAUCUGUUGUCUUUCUCUUACGUGUCCUAAAUUUACUGAUCACUGACAGCUUCUAUUCUUCAACCUUUUUUGGGGAGUCUCGCUGAAAUUUUAGUUAUGGAGUAACUUUUAUUGAAACAAUUUACGUUACAAUUCAUACUGUAUCUUGUAGAAUUAACUAUUCUAGAUUAUUCAAGCUGGAAAAGUCAGGAAGUUGCUGAACACAUCAUAGCCAGUAAUGAAUGAAGUUCAAAUACUGUACAGCUGCAUUGGAAACAGUGUCCAAAAGGUUAGCUCCAAUUUUUCCUAAAGUGUCACAGGGGUAAGAGAGUUCACAGAGUUCACAGUAGCUCUUCCAAAGGCGACAGGUCAUGAGAUAUCAUUAUGUAACUGAAGACUCUGACAUUUUCCAGAGGAUAAUUUCUGUUUUUGGCUUUUUUCUGGUUGCGCUGUAAUGUUCAGUGUGUGACUUAUGAGUCCUGGAAUAUUUAUACAUCUCAGUCUCUAGAGGUAAAGAGGUCUCGCACUAAGCAGCAUAUGGCAAAGGUAUGCUCCUAAUGAUAGAAAAAUCACCUGGGUUGUGUUUUGAGUUCCUCCUAUUUCUGCAUCUUUACCAGGCACAGACUCUGCUUUGGUGACAAAGGCUGUCUGAAGAGCAUGUCCCAUCUCUGCCCAUCCCAAACAUCUGUCUGAUCUGCCAGCUGUAUCCCACAGUCACAGAAGUGUCAGGUAGUCCACAGCACUGUGCAGCCCUCCUUGGUUCCUGCAGACAUGCCAUGCAGGGGCUGGGUGUGGGCCCAGGGCUGGACCAUACUGUUAGCUAGCAGAAGCAUCACAGGAUCAGUCAGGAAGGCUCUUCUCUUUCACUAUCCUUAAUAAUCAAAAGAAAACUGGUGAUUAUCUGAUCUUUUUUUAAAAUUUUUUUUAUUUUUUGAUGUUCACUUGUGGGAUGCAUAUCAGCUCACAACAGGGACUAUCUUCAUGUGCUUUUAUCUCUUGGUUGAUGCUCAAGGGAUAUCAAUCUGAAUCUGUCUAAGUAUAAAAGCAGGAAGGGAAGAGAGAGUGAGAGAGUCCCUAGCUCCCACCACAGAUGGCUAAUAAUUACUGCACUGCUUCCUUCUCCUUCACAGCACAGAAAAUAUAGUUUUCUAUGACAAUGUGAUGACUUUUAGCUGUUUUGCACCUCAGUAACACUUUUGCAGAAAUACAGAAAUACCUUUGAACAGGUGGAAGCCUCUUUUACUUGUUCACAUUGGGUCAAAUAUUACGUCCUUCACCUUUAUUAAAUGGGAAAUUUUGUCUGAGUGGUAAAUGCAGGCCUGUGGGAAUGCAGUAUAGCUGCCAAAACCUUUCAGACAUGAAAAGCAUAAUAGAUCUUGAAAGGAAAUAUAUAUUCCAUUAGAAGACAUAGAUGGCUGUGCCAUCAGCCUGUUUCAGUUUUCAGUUUAACCCCUUAGUCUUUGCAAAGCUUUUUGCUUUCAGUUGGGGAUGACUUUCCACCAUCACGUGUCCUACUUCAGCUGGUUCAGCCCAGUGACUCCAGGUGUGUCUGGGGGUCCCAGAGCAUCCCUCCUGCUCCAGUUGUGCAGAGAGGCUCUAUUCUUCCAGAGGCCAACAGUGUUGCUGACAGGCCAUACAGUGUGUACCUCUCCUGAUGAGUGAAUGGCAGAGUUGCCAGUUGUCAGUUUACUUUCCCUUUCCCCCCCCACCCCCCACCUUCUCAGCAUCUCCCAGUCAAAUGCAAAUUCCCAAAGACUGCAGUUAUAAGACUGUUGUUAACAGCGCUGUAUUUUCCAAGGAAGCAGAGCAGAAGACCUCACUGCAUGGCUCUAUUUUACUUUGCAGUGCUAAUCUCAACCACUUUCCUUACCCAGCUCUCAUUUACACCUCCACCUGUGGUAAGGAUCAUAGAAUUGGAAGUGACCCAAAAGGAUCAUCGAGUCCAACUCAUGUCUCCACAUGGAACCACCCAAAAAUCAAACUCUGUCUCAGAGUGUUGUCUGAAUGCUCCUUGAACUCUGGCAGCCUGUGGCCAUGACCACAGACCUGAGGAGCCUGUACCAGGGUCCACCACCCUCUGGUGCAGAACCUUUUCCAUAUGAAGAUGACAUACCUUAACUAUGUUUCUUCCACACAUCAUGUAUUAUGUUUAAGCUCCAUGGAGAUGGAGUGCUUCUAUUGCCAGCAGCACUACUGGAGGGUGAAGUUAAGGCUGUGUCCUGUAAGAUGACUGUAGCAAUCUACAACUUUGAGUGCUUCUUAAGCCAGCAGUCUGUAGGGAAAUACUUUUCCUCAUUGAUUGCUGCAGUUUAUUAGGGAAUGUUAAUAGUGCAACAACUAUGAUGAAAAUAAAAAAAUUGCCUAAAUUGCACUCCAGAAUUAUCCUGACGUUUACACAACCAUAAAUAAAAUCUGAAGUUUGCCAGGAUAGAUUAAUUUUGGAUAAAUGACCAUGGGACAGGUUCUGAUUUCAUUUCUGUUGGGAAAUCAACUAAUGCCAAGUGAGAUUAAACCUUGUCUCCACGCUUGCCCUGUGCCAGCAUGAGAUAAAAAAUAUUCUGAGUACUCUUCCUCUGGGACAUACAAAUGAAUCUUGCAACAUCAGUGACACAGGCAUAGGCUGGUGCUGUACACCACACAGAGAACACCAUACAAAGUCUCACCUUGCCCUGAGCAGUCCCGGAUCUGACCUUGUUUCUGAAAGCUCAUCUGUGUGCCUGUUUUUGUCUUGUGCUUCUGGUUUUAAUGCAUUUCCUAAGCAACCGUAUGCCAAAUGUGAAUGCAGACUCAUACUGAGAGCCAGGCAGUGUGCUUUGACCCGUAUGUUUGAUGAGUGGGUACAAGCUGUGAUCAGGUUUUCCAAGUGAAAGCACUGCUGCCACAACCAUUUCCUGCCAUUUGCUUACACAGUAUUCUUUUUCCUUUCACCCUUCUAUUGUCUGGGACAAGUGCCACUGGAUGUGAAGGCAAGUCACAGAAUACCUCUAACUCAUUAUUCUCUCAUUUUAAAGCCUUUCUUGUACGCAUGCAAUGUGUUAGUAACUCAUGAGUACGCAGUGUCAUUAAUUUCCAGAACUGAAAGUCUUUGUGCAAUUCAGAAGUUAGUAAUUUCCCAGAGAAUAUAUGUUGUUUCACUUGUUUCCAUGAACUCAUGCUGAUUUAUAUCAAACUAGUGAGUAGAAACAAGAUGUAGGUGAUUACUACUCUGGUAAAAUACAGGAAUGACUGUGGAUCUCAAAGUAUUUUUGUCUCUCUACACUUAUAAGGCAGCUUGCUGGUAGCCUUGAAGACAUUUCCUCCUUCACUUAUACAUCUACAAUGAUACACUUCUUAUGUUUUGAUAGGGUCCAGCCACAUUUUUGGUAAAUCACCAUGUUCUGAAACCACGUGUAAAAAUACCUGCUUGUUAAGUCAGACUGAAUUUACCGAAUGUCGUCAAAACAAGAACUAGGUGAUAAAAACAAUACUCGGAAAAGGUUGGGGGACUAAUUCUGAAGUGUUUAGAUUUUUUGUGGUUGCAGUGCGUCAGUGGACUGAGCUGUGAGAACUACUGGAGAUGUUUUCUCAAUGUGUGUGUGCGUGUCUGUUGCUUUACUAGAUCAGUCAGUGUUUAUAAAUCCACCUCCAGGUGGUGGAAUGAACAUGUAGCUCCACGGUGAGAGUAUUCUUCUGGAAGCUUGGAAGCAAACACUGGAUAUUAGACAGCUCUUCUGGCUUCGGACUCAUUUGGGCUUUGAUUUGAGUACUGAAGUGUGUCAAGUUAACAGUGUGCAAUAUUUUAAUGCUUUACUUUACUUUCAGUGUUUCUAGGAAAUGAAUGAAGAAACCCACCACUAUAUUCAUAAACAUUAUGAUCAAGUGUGAUUAUCUGAUAAAAUGGAAGCAAGUUUUGUGCUGUCAGAGUACUUCAGACAGGGAAAAAGCGAGUGUUCACCAGCAUAGCCAAGAAUUUCACCAGGAAACUUCUGAUCUUCUUUAUCAAUGGCAACUUACUGCAUUGGACAGAAAUUGAAGAUAUUAUAGGUAUCUUAUAUAAAAAUAAGGUCUCUCACUGUCCUUUUACAGCUCUCCCAGUUUAGGAACUGCCUGUUUCUGAAGACAUGCUUUGUGUUCGAGCUUCUUGAAGCUCUAUACAGUCUGGUGCAGACCAUCUAAAGCUGGCCUCAAAUCUUUUGUUGUGUUACUGCUCUGCCCGGGUGCAAUUUGUGCUCACUGGAAGACAGCUGAAUCUAAGGCUCCACCGCGUGAACUCUCCAUCAGCUGCAUUAGGUGGACCUUGCAUGAUCUGAAUUGUUUUUCAGCCUACAGAGUAGUUAUUUGUCUUUUCCUAGUUCCUUGGAGAAGGCACUCAUUUGCCUGACAUACUUCCCAAGGUAUAUCCACCCUGCAUGCCACCAUCAUGUCAAACCUGCACCUGACAUGCAGUUCUGCUGCCAGAACUCUUGGGGGCAUCUGCCCACCAUUAAGACCUCCACUGUGUGCUUAAAUUUUUCUUCUGUAUUGGAAGGAAAUGUAAUAAUCAUUUCUGUCAGACCUGGAAGGAAAAUAUGGAAACUGGCUCGGUUUUUCAAAAACUGUGAUUGUGACAGCCUGCAUGGGAAGCUCCACUUGCAAAGAUGAAUGUUUCAUUAAUUUUUUAGGAUGUGAAAAUACACUGACACAUUAACUAAAGCAUUUGCUAUCUAGCCAAUGCACAGAUACUGUACAACAGUCAUAUUAUUGUACUUUGUUAUAACAGUCAUCAGAAAGCCAGCUAAAUUUAUAAUGGUGAAACUUCAAAGUGGGAAUUUUAUCCUGAUGAACGAUUACUUUGAAGAACUUACUGGUUUUCCCAAUGAAAAAUUACUAUGAACUCUCUCUCAAAAAAACUUUGAAUAAUGUAAAUCUCAAUCUAAAAGGCUGCCUGAGAAAGAUGGGGCAAAUUCUAUUAUUCAUAAUGAGUGUGCUAUCACUGGAAAUUAAUUAUCUCUAAAUCUUGUUGUUCUCUAUUGCUAUUCGAUACCUUAGUAGCAGACAAACAGUGCCUGGCGGCUUUAUCUGACCACUGUAUCCAAGCUGUACCCUAUCCUUUAAAGCCAGUUUCUCACAUAGUAUUGUAAAUAACAAUAAGGAGUAGAACUGAUUGCCUCCUCCGUUACUUAAGGUAUUCUGUAGUCAUCCCUGUUAGUCCAAAAAAGGCAUUAAAUUGUCUGGCCUAAAGGAAAUGUUUAUAUAAAGCAGAGAGCAGUGAAAAUGAGAAGUGUUUUUAAAGUUGGCUCCAUUUUGUAAGUAGUAGGAAAUACUGAAAACUCACAUAUGGAUAUCUACAUAUCUAUAUCUAUAUAUUCUAAUAGGAAAAAAAAAAGAAAAAGCCUGAAAUAUUUUUUAGUUUAUACUGAACGCAUCUGGUUUCACCAACCAUUUUCCUACAACUGGUGAGUGGCUUUCAGAUCUUCAGUUCAGAUUUCUCCCCCCCCCCCCCCCCCCCGAAAAAAUCACCAGUCUGUAUGCAUGCAUUUGCUGAAACAAAAUGUCUGGGUAAAGCAGCUCCUUGCAAAUGUUGAGUGAUGAGAGCUUGCACCCGAGAACACAGUGUGUGGAUUAAUGCAUGUUGUUAGAGAAUGAAGACUUGCACUUGGUGUGAAGUGCAGAGGGAAAGGCUUAGAGUGGUGGCAAACACAUUAACCUCCAUAGGCUCUAGAAUGCAGACUACUUUUGAUAUAUUCAGGAGAAAAGGUCACAGAAAAAUCUUGGGUGUGCUUUGUUAUUUUCAGCAGGGAAAAAUCUAAAACAAACCUUGUGGUUUUCUGAUCACAGUGUUCAGUACUUUUCUAUAGUCCUAAGAGGGAAGAUUCACUCAUCUUUUCCACAAGGGUGUGUAAAGCAGGGGAGGGAUAGCGUAUUUCUAAAAGAGGUAUUUAAUAUGCUGGUGCACAGAGCACUUUGUGUUCAUGGAUGCACCAAAAUCUUGGUUGCUGCUGAGACCCAAGUAAAGUAUUAACUCUUUCUUUUAAGAAUACAGAAUCCAAGGAUAUUGAUGUAGGCAUUGAAAAUAAAAACUAAAAAAAAACACAAAAAAAC